Molecule: transfer RNA, 72 nt
Filed under: Cafeteria roenbergensis virus BV-PW1
Lineage: Varidnaviria; Bamfordvirae; Nucleocytoviricota; Megaviricetes; Imitervirales; Mimiviridae
Also listed under: 1 other name
Rfam family: tRNA
About the family: Transfer RNA (tRNA) molecules are approximately 80 nucleotides in length. Their secondary structure includes four short double-helical elements and three loops (D, anti-codon, and T loops).
Source: Rfam by way of RNAcentral
CUCGCCUUAGCUCAGUGGUAGAGCGGCGGACUGUAGUUCCGUAGGUCACUCGUUCGAAUCGGGUAGGUGAGA